This is an RNA transcript of Haliaeetus leucocephalus (bald eagle), 5921 nucleotides long. It is a transcript of the gene named ADP-ribosylation factor-like 5A, with no coding region annotated. The transcript has 10 exons. The record is from RefSeq and is a predicted model, not a curated record. Lineage: Eukaryota; Metazoa; Chordata; Aves; Accipitriformes; Accipitridae.
UUACGGUGGCCGCGGGCUCGCCGGUGGCGGCCGGUUGUUGUCCCCGCUCGGCGGUCUGGCCGGGUCGGGUUAAAGCGGUGAGGUGAGAGGCUCAGCCGGGUUAUCGUCUUCGCCGUUUUUGGCGAUGUCCGAGGGUGAGCAGGCCCGGCGAGGCCCUAGCCCGCCUUUUCACCGACAAACCGGGAGCUGGGCCGGGCCCUGAGCCGCCCAGGGCAGCGGGGUAACCCCGCAGUAGGCGCUGAGGAGCCGGCGAGGCCCGGAGCUGCCCCGGCUGAGGAUGGGGAUCCUCUUCACCAGGAUAUGGAGGCUGUUCAACCAUCAGGAGCACAAAGUAAUCAUUGUUGGCCUGGAUAAUGCAGGAAAAACCACCAUUCUUUAUCAAUUCUCCAUGAAUGAAGUGGUGCAUACCUCGCCCACCAUAGGGAGUAACGUGGAAGAGAUAGUGGUUAACAACACGCGCUUUCUGAUGUGGGAUAUCGGAGGGCAGGAGUCUCUUCGGUCUUCGUGGAACACCUACUAUACAAACACUGAGUUUGUGAUAGUUGUUGUGGACAGCACAGACAGAGAGAGAAUUUCUGUGACUAAAGAAGAACUGUAUAAAAUGUUAGCACAUGAGGACUUAAAAAAAGCAGGUUUGCUGAUCUUUGCUAACAAGCAAGAUGUUAAAGAGUGUAUGACAGUAGCUGAAAUAUCACAGUUUCUGAAACUAACUUCAAUUAAGGAUCACCAGUGGCACAUUCAGGCAUGCUGUGCUCUAACUGGAGAGGGACUGUGCCAAGGACUCGAAUGGAUGAUGUCAAGACUUAAGAUCAGAUGAUUUUUAAUGACCUCUUUGCACAGACAUUGCUUAAAAAGAGCAGUACCCAGGAUUACCUUCACAGUGGCAGAAUUAAUGGAGGCACAAAAGUAUGUUUAAAAGUCCCACUGGAAUCUUGCAAAACAAGUCAUACUCUGUAUUAAGUGUUUUUCAGAGGAAGGCACACUUCUCUUUGAUAGCAUAAAAUGUAUAUAUAUCUAUAUGCAAUAGAUGGAACUGGGAUGGGGAACAAAACAGAUUACGCUACUUGAAAAGCUGAAAGUGACCCCUUGAUGAUGUUCCCACAGAAGGUCCAGGGCAGUACUUCUUGAAAAUAUAACUCCCUUGCAUGGUCCCCAGGUGAGUUAUAAAGAAGUGUCAGAACACUAUGUGAUUAUCUUUUCUUACUGUAGUACCUAAUGGGAUGGAUGUCCCAUACAGAAGUUGUUCAGAGUUACCAUUUUAAAGAAUACAGGCUUUUCAGUGGGAUGACAGUUGGAUGGUUUGAAAUGUCAUCGGUAUUGUGAAAGUGUACGUAGCCUUAAUCAUAGGCUUUUAUGCUGGACAUGUAUGUUUGGGCAGUAUAGCAAAAUGAAAUAAAAUUUUGUUUAAGAUGUCCUUCCCUUUCUUAGCUCGUACAUCUGGUAAGGAUGGAAAAGACAUUUUAAAGAAAAAGCUUAGUUUGAACUUUUUAAGGUGGUUAUCUUUGGUGAUGGGAUAAUCUAGUCAGCGUACCUGCCUUCCCAUUUGCCUGCUUCACUGGGGAUUAUGUUGUGAAUUUGGGGAGAAGAAGGGAGGCAAUUUCAAAAGUCUGUAUUUAACAAAGGCAGGUAAAGAAUUUAACUUUUUAAUAUAUUUUUGGUAUCUCUUUAUGAUGCUCACUGGCUAGGGAAUCUGCUGUCUUUGUUAAACAUUUUAAUGUGUACAUGCAUAUAUUUAUAGUGCAUGCACAUAGAUAUUGGUAUUUAACUGGUGUAUUGCAAAAUGUAUAAAUGUUCAAAGAAGUAACGAUUUAAUGCAAAGACUCUCAGUUCAUCUGAUAGUAUCUUCAAGAAACGAGCUCUGUUCACACUUGCAUAUGAAGUGGAAUUGUACGUUUUCUAGUCUUAAAAAAGAAAAAGCAGACUUGCUUAUAAACCUAAGUGUUUGGUUUUUGAGUCUUAUGUCUUCCCUUUCAUCCCUUUAAAAUAUUUUGCUUUAGUAUUGUUAAAUACUGCAUAUUUUUGCCUGAAUCUGCACAGGUUGUAUGUGUUGGGUUUUUGUUUGUUUUUAAGAAAAUGAGUUGUUCCUGUUGAUGAGAGAAAACUCAUGGAGCGGUAUUCCGGUAUCCGCUUCUUGCUGAAAUUUGCUGCUUACUGCCUCCCUUAAGUUUGUAGGACUUAGUACGUCCAUAUAAGGAAAGUGCGGUGGUUUCUUCCAGGUACGGCUUAGGUUGCAACCAGACAUCUUAUGUUUACACAGAAGUAAACUUAAGUUUACUCUUUUUCCCUCUCAGUAUCAUGGCCACUUCUAGUUUCUGUGGCCUCCAAGGUACUGCGUGGUUCACUUCAUCUUUGUUUCACAAGUGGCAACAGACCCUAGUAGGGAGUUGGAAAUAACUGUGCAUGUGAAGACUGGCUGUUAAAACAAUGUCUUUUGUGCCCUAAAGGGUUUUUAAUCCGAAAAUUAAGUCGUCUCUGUGUUGGAUGGUAAACAAUCCAGCCUUAACCUGACUACAAAAAAGGUGUGUGUCGUGUCACGUAUGAUGAUGAGUUUUCUAUCUAUUUUGUGAUACCAUAGUAUUUUAGAGGGUAGAUAUGCUCUUCAGUAGCUAGAAUUCAGUGGUGGCCAAUGCUUACUGACACAUCAUGUGCCUGUUGCAUUCUUGACUGGGGCUUAGAAAUCAAAGGAAGACACCCCUUCAUUUUAAAUGCUGGAUUUGCAGUCUCUGUUAAGGAUGAUGGAUUUUGUCUAUAAUAGCUGGGCAACUCUUUGUCACCCUGUUGUAAACGGAGAUGACGAUUCCAGAUUCUUACCUUGCAUGGUUGGUGUGAUCGUGCUUUUAAGUGCAGCGAAGCAUAGCGAAAGCGGAAUAGCGUUAUCCGGAUGUUGCAGUGGAAGCUUUUGUAGGAACUGUUGUCUGCCUGGAGGUUCUUUGUGAGAACAAGUGUGUUUGCUCAGAUACUAACAAGAUGAACGUUAGAAGAAUAUACAAAUAUAUACCCUCAUGGUAGCGUUGUGGCUGUGACGGUUCUUUCCUAUACACCUUGCCUUUUGUGUUGAGUUAGAAAUGUUUUUAAAUUUAGUCACCUAAUAGAGCUGGAGAAGAGCAGACAAAUUCUUGAAUGCACAAACCCUUUUUGUAUGUGCUUCUUGUUUACAGCUUUUUUUCUUUUCCCUGUAGGACAAUUCACAUUUUUCUCACAACUCUGUCCAUAGAAAAGCAAGUUAGCUGCUUUCAACUUCACUGGGUUAUUGUUUGGAAGUGAUUGUCUUAACAUGAGUCAUGACCUUGAUUUGUAUUGCUGUUGUGUUUUCACCCCGUGUGUGUUGUGUUGCCUUGGCUUUCAGCUAAAGUUUAAGAUUACUUUGCCUUUGUUCUUCAUGAAAUUCCUUCUUAGGAUAUUACACAGAAAAAGGGAGGGGUCUUUAAAAAUGGUUAUUUAAGUUUAUGCUGCAGAAUGCCAUUUUACUAGCAAAAAAACUAUAGCAGUAAGUCAUAUUUCAAUAAUCUAAUGUUUGAAAUGUUUCUUUUGGCUUAGCAGAUAAUAAACUUGGUAAAUCAUGUCUAUAAUAUGCUGCCUCGGUGAUCUGAAAAUUAUGCAGGUUUUUAAUUGUGAGGAAAGGUGGACUAGAGAGCUUGGAAAAUGUGAACAGCGACCUACCUAGCUUCAUUUUUUCAUUUUUUUAUUAUUUUUGUUUCCAGGGAGGCUUAAUAGCUGUUUUCCUAUGCAUUAUACAGUAUGUUCCUAGGUGUACGUGUGCAUGUGUGAAUGUUAAACAUAUCUGAUGGGCACCUUCUACAGUCUAUGCAGUUCAAGUGCCUAAAACUAAGUCAGUGAUCAUUUUUUUUCUUCCUAUGCUACAAUUUCCAUUUUUUUAAAAAUAGAUAUAUUUCUAUAAAAGCAUCUAAAUGUGUGUAAAUGAGUGUUUUUUCCCCUCCCUACACACCGAUUUUAACAUGCUUUAUGAUAAAUCUAUUUGUUACAGUUCUUUCUGUCCUCUACAUUCCAGGCACUUUUCCAUUUAUCAGGCAUCACAUAUCUAGCUUGCUUUGUGAAAGGAAAUACUAAAUUUGUCCUUGUAUCAGAUUGGUUAGCUGGAAUUCUUUUCAAGGAACUCUUUUUAAAUAACUUAAUCCAAGAAUACUUGGCCUUGUAAGCAUCCUCAUGUAAGUAGUUACUUUUUAAUUGGCUAGUAAGACAUUAACUUUGCGACUGUCAGGCCAAUUAUGUCUGAAAAAUAGUUUUCAGCUAAUUCAGAUGAAUGUAAUGUGAAGCCUUUAGAUGGUGCAUCAUUGAGCAUUACAGGACAAGAAUGAUUUGAUGUCACAAAGAAUGGCACUAAGAAAGAAAAAUGUCUUUGCAUAUAGUUGUGAUAUGUAUUAUAAAUGCAAAUGUGACUUGAAUAUAAUUGUUGCAGUGACUAUAUUAAAUGUACAAAAAUGAGAAAUUAUAAGUGGUUGCCACUAACUUUUUUACAGUGUGCUUUAGAAUCAUAAGCAGAAAUUAUAUUCUUGCCUUACUAGGAUUUUACUGGUUAAUUUUUAUAUUGUACAGAAACUUUUUUUGAAAAUGUUCUUCACAUCAGAUAGUAGCCUUUAUUCAUAACAGGAUCAUACUUGUGUACCACCCUUAGCCUUUUAAGCCAGAUUUGUUGUGAGUAAGGACACAAGUUGCGUGGGGGUUUUUUUAAGCUUUUCCUAUUUGUAAAUUUAGAAAACUUAGCUGAUACUGAAUUAAGUUAGAAAAUGCUGCUUUACCUAGAAGGCUAUAAAUCAUUCUUUAUAAAUCAUCAGCUCAGUGUUAAUCUUGUCUAAAUACUUCCUGCAUCAAACACUGUGGAGGGUAGAAGAGGUGGCCAAGAAAAGACGUAUUCUCCUGCGGAGAGAUUCAAAGAUAAAAAAACCACACCAAACCAAAACAUAAAACCUCACAUUGGAAGGCCUGAGCACUUUUAUGGCUGAUAAAUUGAAUAAUUGGUAGUAUAUGAUAGAGGAAUGGCAACCGAUCCCGUUUAAACUGUGUCUCUGUUAUGUUUUCAUGAAUGUUUUCAACAUGUCCUCAACUUUCUUACUACAUUCUUUUCCAAACCCUUUAAUCCUGUAGCCACAGUCCUGUACUCAGCCUGUACGUGCUGCUCAAGAUCCAAGUCUGCCCUUCUGGCUCCACGGGGAGGGGGAGCAGCUGUCGGAGGGAACCAAGCUCUUUGUCCUUGGACUCUACCAAAAAAUGCUGAAUUCCAGUGGUGUACCACUCCUGCAUAUUCACAUGUCACAUGCUGGUAUUUGCAGCCUUGUGAGUGGUGGGGGAUUACAGAGCAGUUCUUGCAUGUGUCUGCCAGGUGCAUAAGAGAAAUCAAAACUGCUGUGAGUUAAUAAAGUAAUAAAUUGUCGUCGAUCCUUGUGUCGUGCCUAUACUUGUUCACGACUAGCACUGUGCAAGAUGUCACGAAGGAGCCAGUAGCGCAGUUCCUCCACCCAUUGAUCGGUCGUGGAGGGUCUUUCUGCUGCACUGGCAGCAACCCAAGUCCAGUUGCAGACAGCAAAUCCCAGCGUCGCUUGCCCUCUGGAUGUCUUGUAUGAAGAACCCUUUAGUGAUCUGUGCGCUGAUAAACUGCUGCAGCCAAACCCUAUUUUUAUCAGUGGUGGACUAUUCCUUAAAGGUAAACUCCUACAGAGAGGAACAAGCCUGUCUUCGCCAUCCUGUGGACAAGAACGGCCUGAACCCAGGCAGAAGUUUUUCUACCAUGUGUUUAGACCAUUAAUUCUUACCUUUCCUGGUGCCUUUAAGGAGAAUCCUGGGAUAAUGCAAAAAAUGCAUGUAUUUUGUAAGUUAGGUAGGUCUUAACUGGGAUAAGGUGGGAAAAUCCCAUUCUUACACGGGAUUUUUGCUGCCAACCAGCAGCGACAGCUGCUAUUUCAUGC